GCCGGAAUUGCUAGUAAUGGCAGGUCAGCAUACUGCCGUGAAUACGUUCCCGGGCCUUGUACACACCGCCCGUCACACCAUGAGAGUUGGGAAUACCCGAAGCCUGUGAGCUAACUAUAUGAGGCAGCAGUCGAAGGUAGAAUCAAUGAUUGGGGUGAAGUCGUAACAAGGUAGC
RNAcentral lists this ribosomal RNA (175 nucleotides) under uncultured bacterium. Its description in RNAcentral is "partial 16S ribosomal RNA". It matches the Rfam family "Bacterial small subunit ribosomal RNA", at positions 1325 to 1500 of the family's 1533-position model. The record is from RNAcentral.